GAGGGUGUAGUAUAGUGGAUAGUAUACGGGUUUGCGGAACCUGUGACCGGGGUUCAAUUCCCCGCACCCUCG
RNAcentral lists this transfer RNA (72 nucleotides) under Candidatus Woesearchaeota archaeon. RNAcentral's name for it is "tRNA-Arg". It matches the Rfam family "tRNA". From Rfam's summary of the family: Transfer RNA (tRNA) molecules are approximately 80 nucleotides in length. Their secondary structure includes four short double-helical elements and three loops (D, anti-codon, and T loops). The record is from RNAcentral. Lineage: Archaea; Nanobdellati; Candidatus Woesearchaeota.